RNAcentral lists this long non-coding RNA (1238 nucleotides) under Bos indicus x Bos taurus (hybrid cattle). Its description in RNAcentral is "lncRNA (ENSBIXG00005010969.1)". The record is from RNAcentral. Lineage: Eukaryota; Metazoa; Chordata; Mammalia; Artiodactyla; Bovidae.
GAUGAUUUGAGAGAAUAGCACUGAAACAUGUAUAUUAUCAUAUGUGAAACAGACUGCCAGCCUAGGUUCAAUGCAUGAGACAGGGUGCUCAGGGCUGAUACAAUGGGAUGACCCAGAGGGUUGGGAUGGGAAGGGGUGGGGGGGCUUCAGGAUGGGGAACACAUGUACACCCAUGGCUGAUUCAUGUCAUUGUAUGGUAAAAACCACUACAAUAUUGUAAAGUAAUUAGCCUCCAAUUAAAAUAAAUAAAUUACUUUUAAAAAAGGAAAUAAGAAUUCCAAUAAUUAUUUUAAUUUUGACUUUAUAGUAUGCUAUCCCUGGCCUCCAUGAGAUAAUGGCACUUCAUUUGAUAUGUGAAGGAUGAAGAGGAGGUGAAUGACAAAGAGUAGGAAAGAGGAUUCCAGACACAAGGAACCAUUAUGAAGUGAGAAUGAACAUGGUAUGUGGAUAAACAGGAAGUGACUUCUCAAUUUGAUAGAACUUUAAAAUCAGAGAUGCAUUUACUUCCUUCUUUAAGUGCUCUUUACAAUUCUUUAAAUCUUUAAUUUCUUUAAAAUAGAAUUUGCCAGUAAAGAAUACAAUGAUAUCCUUCUAUUCAGAUAGGAAAGGAGCUGAAGUUGCUCAGUCGUGUCUGACUCUUUGCGACUCCAUGGACUGUAGCCCACCAGGCUUCUCCAUCCACGGAAUUUUCCAGGCAUGAGUACUGGACUGGGUUGCCACUGCCUACUCCAGGGGAUCUUCCUGACCCAGGGAUUGAACCCAGGUCUCCCGCAUUGCAGACAGACACUUUACCAUCUGAGCUACCAGGGAAUCUCCCAGGAAAGGAGCCUCCCCCCCGCACCCACCCCAGCACUGAAGAAGCACAGGUGACAAAGGAGACUUGUGGAUUGAGUGUUUCUGCUGCUGCUACUGCUGCUAAGUCACUUCAGUCGUGUCCGACUCUGUGUGGCCCCAUAGACUGUAGCCCACCAGGCUCCCCCGUCCCUGGGAAGAACACUGGAGUGGGUUGCCAUUUCCUUCUCCAAUGCAUGAAAGUGAAAAGUGAAAGUGAAGUCGCUCAGUCAUGUCCGACUCUAGCGACCCCAUGGACUGCAGCCUACCAGGCUCCUCCAUCCAUGGGAUUUUGUAGGCAAAAGUACUGGACUGGGAAUUACUCACAUUGCUUCAUAGGUUUCUAGUCCUUUACAAUGUUGAGAUAACCUGGGGGAUCCAGACCAGAUGGUGACAUAAGAGGCUCC